AGUGAACGCUGGCGGUAGGCCUAACACAUGCAAGUCGAACGGCAGCACAGUAAGAGCUUGCUCUUACGGGUGGCGAGUGGCGGACGGGUGAGGAAUACAUCGGAAUCUACUUUUUCGUGGGGGAUAACGUAGGGAAACUUUCGCUAAUACCGCAUACGACCUACGGGUGAAAGCAGGGGAUCUUCGGACCUUGCGCGAUUGAAUGAGCCGAUGUCGGGUUAGCUAGUUGGCGGGGUAAAGGCCCACCAAGGCGACGAUCCGUAGCUGGUCUGAGAGGAUGAUCAGCCACACUGGAACUGAGACACGGUCCAGACUCCUACGGGAGGCAGCAGUGGGGAAUAUUGGACAAUGGGCGCAAGCCUGAUCCAGCCAUACCGCGUGGGUGAAGAAGGCCUUCGGGUUGUAAAGCCCUUUUGUUGGGAAAGAAAAGCAGCAGGUUAAUACCCCGCUGUUCUGACGGUACCCAAAGAAUAAGCACCGGCUAACUUCGUG
RNAcentral lists this ribosomal RNA (492 nucleotides) under uncultured bacterium. RNAcentral's name for it is "partial 16S ribosomal RNA". It matches the Rfam family "Bacterial small subunit ribosomal RNA", at positions 29 to 507 of the family's 1533-position model. The record is from RNAcentral.